Rhinichthys klamathensis goyatoka is the source of this 347-nucleotide long non-coding RNA. RefSeq lists it as uncharacterized. The transcript has 3 exons. NCBI's taxonomy places the organism in Eukaryota, Metazoa, Chordata, Actinopteri, Cypriniformes, Leuciscidae. The record is from RefSeq and is a predicted model, not a curated record.
UAACAGCAUGGAACACUGUCAGAGGUUAUUGGAGGAGCAUUCUCGUAUUUUAUCCAGGAUGUUGGACCAUUUGAGACACUCUCAGGAUAAUCAAAUUUUGACCAUGCUAUCAGAGUUACAUGACACUCUCUCAGAAAUGCUAUUGCAACUGGAAAUAAUCCUCCAUCCCCAGCUCACACCAGCAAUUCAAAUAUCGAUCUCUAGGUCCGGUGGGCGACCAAGGUAUGAUCUGACCAGAGAGCAGUUGACCUAGCUGAGAGAGACAGGAAUGUCAUGGACAGCUAUUUCUACCUGUUUGAGAGUGAGCUGUCGAACAGUACGAAGACGACGUCUUCAGUAUGGAAUUG